Molecule: ribosomal RNA, 497 nt
Filed under: uncultured bacterium
Lineage: Bacteria
Description: partial 16S ribosomal RNA
Rfam family: Bacterial small subunit ribosomal RNA
Source: RNAcentral
GAUGAACGCUGGCGGCGUGCCUAAUACAUGCAAGUCGAGCGAACAGACGAGGAGCUUGCUCCUCUGACGUUAGCGGCGGACGGGUGAGUAACACGUGGAUAACCUACCUAUAAGACUGGGAUAACUUCGGGAAACCGGAGCUAAUACCGGAUAAUAUAUUGAACCGCAUGGUUCAAUAGUGAAAGACGGUUUUGCUGUCACUUAUAGAUGGAUCCGCGCCGCAUUAGCUAGUUGGUAAGGUAACGGCUUACCAAGGCAACGAUGCGUAGCCGACCUGAGAGGGUGAUCGGCCACACGGGAACUGAGACACGGUCCAGACGCCUACGGGAGGCAGCAGUAGGGAAUCUUCCGCAAUGGGCGAAAGCCUGACGGAGCAACGCCGCGUGAGUGAGGAAGGUCUUCGGAUCGGAAAACUCUGUUAUUAGGGAAGAACAAAUGUGUAAGUAACUAUGCACGUCUUGACGGUACCUGAUCAGAGAGCCACGGCUAACUACGUG